CGGGACGGGUGAGUAACGCGUGGGUAACCUGCCUCAUACAGGGGGAUAACGGUUAGAAAUGACUGCUAAUACCGCAUAAGCGCACAGUACCGCAUGGUACGGUGUGAAAAACUCCGGUGGUAUGAGAUGGACCCGCGUCUGAUUAGCUAGUUGGUGAGGUAACGGCCCACCAAGGCGACGAUCAGUAGCCGACCUGAGAGGGUGAUCGGCCACAUUGGGACUGAGACACGGCCCAG
Molecule: ribosomal RNA, 236 nt
Filed under: uncultured bacterium
Lineage: Bacteria
Description: partial 16S ribosomal RNA
Rfam family: Bacterial small subunit ribosomal RNA
Source: RNAcentral